RNAcentral lists this long non-coding RNA (5195 nucleotides) under Equus asinus (donkey). RNAcentral describes it as "lncRNA (ENSEASG00005025024.1)". The record is from RNAcentral. Lineage: Eukaryota; Metazoa; Chordata; Mammalia; Perissodactyla; Equidae.
GGCGGAGGGCUGGACUGCCCUGUACCGCUGCUGCUGGUGAGCGAGGCCUGCACCGCUGCUUCCCCCAGCGGGAAGGAGGGUCUGGAAAGGCGUGGUCUAGGGCUGGGGCCCGGGGUGCGGUGCAGCUGGUGGGGGAGUGCGGCGGCUCAGGCCGGGGGUUCGGAAGGCUUCAUUUCUGGAGGAGGGGGCGCGGCUGGAGGCGUGCACUCGGGGCGGGUACAUGGGGUGAGACUCAGCCAGCAUGGAUGCCUGAGGUGAUGGGCGCUGCGCGGACCUUCCUUUCUCGGCUGGGGCGAGUGACCUGGAACUCUAAUUUCUUUUUUGAGGAGGUCCUGACUUCUUGGAAACAGGAUGGGCGUUUACAAGUCAGGUUCGGAAAAGUCACCCCAGGCAGCAGAAAUCCAUCUUGAGAUGAAAUACCUUCUACCUGGCCCUCUGGCAGAAUUUCAAGGCAAACGCUGGGCUGGCUCUGGGGCCAUGACAUUGCCUGAUCUUCUGCCUGGGGAGAGCAGGACCGGGAGGAGAUUUUGCCUUUGGAGAACAGGGAAGAUAUGGAAAGCAUGAAGAAAUUGACUCAGAAUCCUAAGGCCAAAGAUACCAGUUACAUUAAGGAAUGUGGCAGUAGUCUUCAUGGAGGCAAAUGGAAGAGACUGAGCUCUGAGCAGAGGAACCUAUACAAAGAAGUGAUGCUGGAGAAUUACCGGAAUUUGCUCUUGUCGGCAGAACCAAAGCCAGAAAUCUACCCCUGUUCCUGCUGGCAUUCUCUUGUCAGCAAUUCCUCAGCCAGCAUGUGCUUCAGAUCUUCCCUGGCUCAUGUGUGGAAAAUCACUUCCAUCCAGAGGAUUCUGGCCCGGAGCCUCAGGAGCAGCAUUAUUCUGCUCAGAGUUGCUGGAGUGAAUACACGGAAGGGCAAGAGAGGGAAGGUGGCUCCAAAGCCUUGUGUGCGGGGACAGAGGAGAGAAAGACCUCAAGCUCAUUCUCUGGCCCCCCCCAAGGACCGUCCGCAAGUCCUAGAGAAGUCACCACAGUGGUAGAAAUAGAGUCCAGUUCAGCCCAAAGAGUAAACCCUGUGCAACCAGACAAAGAAUUGAAGGAAUCAGAAAUCUUGAGAUCUGGAGCAGCCAACUGUAGAGAGCAUGAACGAGACUGUAGCCCGAAAUCAAACUUCGUUACCGACCAGAUGACCCCCUUCAAGGAGAAACCCUGUUUGCAGGGAGCGUGGGUGAGGCUGUAAAGAUAAGGCAGCCCUCAUCAGAUACCACUGGACACAGUUGGUGGAGAAGCCCUAUGUGUGCAGUGACUGUGGCCAAGGCUUCAGCCUGAUGUCAGUCCUUAUUAACCCCCAGGGGACACACUCAGGGGAGAAGCCAUAUGUGUGCAAGGAGUGUGAGCAAAGCCUUAGUCAGAAGUCCAACCUCAACACAUGAGAAAAACAGAUUCAGAAAAGUCUUAUUUGUGCAAGGAGUGUGGGCGAGGCUUUAGCCAGAAGUCAGACCUUAUCAAACACGAGAGGAUACACUCAGACUAGAAGCCCUAUAUUUGCAGGGAGUGUGGGAGAGGCUCUUGUGAUCUUGAGAUUCUUGUGAGAAGGCGAGUCAGCCUUCUUCACAUGCCACAGGGAGAAUCCUUCUGUGGGAUACUGUGGAACUCUGCCCAGUUAACCUUAUCAGGGCCAGCGCCCACGCCGCUCCAGAUAACUGCUGCUGAUGGCUGCAGAGCUGACUUCCUCACUAGGACUCGUUCUCAGCCACGGGGAACUGCACCUUCCCAAGGGCUGGCUGGCUCCUUGCCAAUGAAUGAGUGAUACGGUUAGACAAAACUCCCCUUGACUCAGUUGGGACAACUCCCAAGGUUCAUCCCAGAUCCAGAGGUGCCUGUUGGACUGAAGGAUCUCUCAUUUGCAAAUACAUUGCAGGUCAGCUUCUUCCUCUGCCCAGCCCUGCCCUCAUUCCCCAAUAAACCACUCAAUUCUUCAUCUCACUGUCUCUCCAGGGAAUCCAACCUAAGACAUCUUAAGUUGACAGGGAGUGUGGACAAGGCUUUGGCUAUAAGUCACCCCUCAACAAACCCCAGAGUACACAGCAUAGAAGCUCUGUGUGUGUGUGUGUGGAGAACGGGCAAGGCCUUAGGAAAAGCACACCUCAGUGUACAUCAGAGAACAGGUUUUUUGGGAGGAAGGGAGGGAGACUGUGAGAUGCGUUAGUCAUGCCUCAUCUUGCACCAGAGGACAUACUCAGGUGAGUAGACCCGUGGGGCAAGGUGUGUGGGUGGAGCUUUAUCCUGAUGGCCCCCUCAACAGAUGAAGAGGACAGAGUCUUGCCACCACAAACCACUACCUCAUGCACCUCUGAGGGGGUUUCAGAAGUCUUGACCACCCCCAUACUCUGUAUGAGUGUGAAAAUGGCACUAAUGACUAAAUAGACAUGCUUUUCACUUUUUGUAAUCAGAUGGAAUAAAAAAGUAGAAAGCUUUAUUUAAGUAAUCUAAGAGUGAUCAACUUGUUUUAUUUUCAUACACCAGUUCUUUCCCAUGUUUUCUUGUCCUUUGUUCUAGUAAAAUCUUUACUGAGCUAAGGCUUUGUAUCUUAGUCUCUCAUUUGUCUGGAAAGGAAUUCACAUUCACAACCCAGAUUUCCUCCAUUAAUUCAACUUUUAAGAAAAAAUAAGUCUCAAAUCAAUCUAACAGGUUUGCUGGGCAUCGGAGCCUUUGCAUGAGGAGGAUGAUUUAAGUUCUGGAGACAGGCCAGCUGAAGGGAGGGAACUUCCCAGGUCUCCAGGGGCUGGGUUGCCUCUUCUCCUACCUGAUCCCUCCCUUUGACUUCUGUGCAAGCUCCCUUCCCUGGGUUUUCUCCUUCAUUCUUAUCUCUUUCAGAUCUCUGCUGAAUCCUCGACCCCAUCAAGCAUUGCUGUUCCUCAGUGGUCUGUUCACGUCCUCCAGCUCCAGGGACCCUUUAAGCAUGCUCCCUCUGCAGCCUUCCAGAUUCCAGGCCGUGAAGUCAGCUUUCCAGUGGGUCCUGAGUCAGCUCUGGCGAGGGCAGGUGUGAGCCCCAAGUGUGGGCCCCGCCCUUGCUCCCGUCUCCCCUCGUGCUCCUUCGCCAGAGCUACCCCUGUGACACCAACGCUUUGCUUCUGGUCUGAACUGGAAGCCAGAGAGGGACAGGUGUAUGUGGGUAGGCCCUCUACAUUCCGGAUGACCCCAAGGCCUUGCCCAUGCCUGCCAUUGGGAGAGAAAAUGCAAACAAGAAAACCAGCACCUUCCUUUGGAAAAACGGAUUUUCUGCUGAAUAUAUUGGCACGGAAAUUAUCUGGCGGUUGAAGAUCUGGAAGAGACAGUGCAGGGAAUCUGAGAAAACGUAAGAGAAAGAGAUGGUGUGAUGGCCAGCACUGAGACUGGGAUAAAUUUGGGAAGCAGGAAGUGUUGCAAUUGCCCGGGCAAAAUUUACAGCACAACUAUGGCAAGAGUGUGGACUGAAAGAGAAGAUGGACUCUGUAGGGUUUGUCUUCAAAGCACUUGGUGGUUGCCUGGAUGCAGAAGAUAAGGGAGAAUUUAAAAGGACUCCCACAAACACAGCUUUCUAACAGUAGAAACAUUUGCAAAGGAGAAAAAGUUCUCAUCACUCCAAGAAUCCAAGUGGAAAGCCAACAUCAUCCUAUCUGUGUUUACCAUAAGAAUAUUUCCUUCUCUAGAGGUAGGUUGAGCUGGCUAUCCUCUUUCCGCAUCUGAGUCUUGCAUGUGCUGACCCGUGUGGUAGAAUAUAUUUGUGUGUAUGUGGGAUGGUGCCACUUAUCAGCAUAUUGUCUCAGCUCCAAAUUCACCUUUUGUUGCCUAUUUGUGAAAAUGGACCUGGGCCCUUUAAAUAUUUGCCCGGUGGUGUGAGAUUCAUCAGUAGCGAGCUCUGGAGCCACGUGACAGGAGGAAGGGGUCCUCUUUCCUGGUUCAGGUGGCUCUUUCACUAGGCUCCUCAGCCAGCGCAGUUUUCUCCCAUGCUAAAUGCCUGCAGGACACAGCUUUCUCCACUGAUUGGCACCCUAUAUUUUCUCCAGCUGUCCACCCGGGCACUGGUGGCUUAGUCGGGAGCGCAAACAGUACAAGCCUGUGCCCCAGCCCAGCUCACUGCUCCUGCACCCUCUCUUCAGCCCCACGGGCAUACACCCUGGGGCCCCACUGGACUGGCUCUCUGGCAAGCAGAUCACCUGGCCUUCAUCCCCGGCAGAGGCUCAGAGCCUCCCAGCCUGGUUGCUUUCUCCUUGGCUCUCUGUGCAUGCACACCAGGGCCCCAGCAGCCACUCUGAGCUGCCCCAGUCCAGGCCGUGCACAGAAGUACACUAGGUUCUUGCAGCUUCUCAGCCUCCUUUCCAGCAGCGCCUCCAGCAGUGCCUUGACCUCCUCUGCUCACUUGCCCUUCAGUCUCAGCUCGCUUGUCCCCCCAGAGGUUUAUUUGCUGCGGCCCUCCAGACACAGGCACUGUGUGGUCCAGGCUUUGUGUCAGCAUCAACACCCUGGCCCUCUGUGCCCAUCCAGCUCCCUCUGUGCACCUGGCUACCAGCUUUGGUUGCCUGCACUCCAGAGGGUUAUUCCUGCUUGCUGGUGAUGGUAGACCUGCUCUGGCCCGUGCAAAUCCCCCUUACCCUGACUUUUCCACCAUCCAGUGGGCUGUAGCAACUUCUCCAGUGAGGGCUGAACCCCAGCCUUGGGGAGGGAACCUUCCAGCUUUAUACUUCCUUAGCACUCUCCCUCAGCUGAGGGUUUCAUUCGAUAUUUACAGUUGCUCCCCUAUCAUUGCAUAAUAAUUCUUUAUGUUAAAUUUCCCAUUUAAAUUACUGUCUGGUUUCUGUCUCCUCAUUGGACCCAGAUUGACAGAGAUGUGAAUGUGCAUGUGUGCAGUUUUUAUUUGAAGGCAAAGAGGUGAAUUUUUGACUGCAUCUAUUCAGUGAACACAGCAAUAAGCCAAAAGAAACAAUGCAAGUCAAAGUUAUUAUCAGCACCAGCUGGGGCUAUGGCCCUGAACCCAGACCCAGAAAUAUGAUGGUCUACAUCUGGGAAUGGCAAACUACAGAUCUGUCCUGCCACCUCUUUUUGUAUGGCCUGUGAACUAAGUAUAGUUUUUACAUUUUAAAUGGUUGAAAAGAAUGAAAAGAAUAAUAUUUUGUGAUACAUUUGUGUUCAUAAAUAAAGUUAUAUUUGUAACACAGCCA